This 492-nucleotide ribosomal RNA is filed under the name uncultured bacterium. RNAcentral describes it as "partial 16S ribosomal RNA". It matches the Rfam family "Bacterial small subunit ribosomal RNA", at positions 29 to 507 of the family's 1533-position model. The record is from RNAcentral.
AGUGAACGCUGGCGGUAGGCCUAACACAUGCGAGUCGAACGGCAGCACAGUAAGAGCUUGCUCUUACGGGUGGCGAGUGGCGGACGGGUGAGGAAUACAUCGGAAUCUACUUUUUCGUGGGGGAUAACGUAGGGAAACUUACGCUAAUACCGCAUACGACCUACGGGUGAAAGCAGGGGAUCUUCGGACCUUGCGCGAUUGAAUGAGCCGAUGUCGGAUUAGCUAGUUGGCGGGGUAAAGGCCCACCAAGGCGACGAUCCGUAGCUGGUCUGAGAGGAUGAUCAGCCACACUGGAACUGAGACACGGUCCAGACUCCUACGGGAGGCAGCAGUGGGGAAUAUUGGACAAUGGGCGCAAGCCUGAUCCAGCCAUACCGCGUGGGUGAAGAAGGCCUUCGGGUUGUAAAGCCCUUUUGUUGGGAAAGAAAAGCAGCAGGUUAAUACCCCGCUGUUCUGACGGUACCCAAAGAAUAAGCACCGGCUAACUACGUG